GGGUUGUAAACCUCUUUCAGUAGGGAAGAAGCGAAAGUGACGGUACCUGCAGAAGAAGCGCCGGCUAACUACGUGCCAGCAGCCGCGGUAAUACGUAGGGCGCAAGCGUUAUCCGGAAUUAUUGGGCGUAAAGAGCUCGUAGGCGGUUUGUCGCGUCUGCCGUGAAAGUCCGGGGCUUAACCCCGGAUCUGCGGUGGGUACGGGCAGACUUGAGUGAUGUAGGGGAGACUGGAAUUCCUGGUGUAGCGGUGAAAUGCGCAGAUAUCAGGAGGAACACCGAUGGCGAAGGCAGGUCUCUGGGCAUUAACUGACGCUGAGGAGCGAAAGCAUGGGGAGCGAACAGGAUUAGAUACCCUGGUAGUCCAUGCCGUAAACGUUGGGCACUAGGUGUGGGGGACAUUCCACGUUUUCCGCGCCGUAGCUAACGCAUUAAGUGCCCCGCCUGGGGAGUACGGCCGCAAGGCUAAAACUCAAAGGAAUUGACGGGGGCCCGCACAAGCGGCGGAGCAUGCGGAUUAAUUCGAUGCAACGCGAAGAACCUUACCAAGGCUUGACAUGAACCGGAACGGCGCAGAGAUGUGUCGGCCACUUGUGGCCGGUUUACAGGUGGUGCAUGGUUGUCGUCAGCUCGUGUCGUGAGAUGUUGGGUUAAGUCCCGCAACGAGCGCAACCCUCGUUCCAUGUUGCCAGCGGGUUAUGCCGGGGACUCAUGGGAGACUGCCGGGGUCAACUCGGAGGAAGGUGGGGACGACGUCAAAUCAUCAUGCCCCUUAUGUCUUGGGCUUCACGCAUGCUACAAUGGCCGGUACAAAGGGUUGCGAUGCUGUGAGGUGGAGCUAAUCCCAAAAAGCCGGUCUCAGUUCGGAUUGAGGUCUGCAACUCGACCUCAUGAAGUCGGAGUCGCUAGUAAUCGCAGAUCAGCAACGCUGCGGUGAAUACGUUCCCGGGCCUUGUACACACCGCCCGUCAAGUCACGAAAGUUGGUAACACCCGAAGCCGG
This 1000-nucleotide ribosomal RNA is filed under the name Arthrobacter tumbae. RNAcentral's name for it is "bacterial SSU rRNA". It matches the Rfam family "Bacterial small subunit ribosomal RNA", at positions 420 to 1430 of the family's 1533-position model. Lineage: Bacteria; Bacillati; Actinomycetota; Actinomycetes; Micrococcales; Micrococcaceae. The record is from RNAcentral.